UGGGGAAUUUUGGACAAUGGGCGAAAGCCUGAUCCAGCAAUGCCGCGUGUGUGAAGAAGGCCUUCGGGUUGUAAAGCACUUUUGUCCGGAAAGAAAUCCUUGGCUCUAAUACAGUCGGGGGAUGACGGUACCGGAAGAAUAAGCACCGGCUAACUACGUGCCAGCAGCCGCGGUAAUACGUAGGGUGCAAGCGUUAAUCGGAAUUACUGGGCGUAAAGCGUGCGCAGGCGGUUUGCUAAGACCGAUGUGAAAUCCCCGGGCUCAACCUGUGAACUGCAUUGGUGACUGGCAGGCUAGAGUAUGGCAGAGGGGGGUAGAAUUCCACGUGUAGCAGUGAAAUGCGUAGAGAUGUGGAGGAAUACCGAUGGCGAAGGCAGCCCCUGGGCCAAUACUGACGCUCAUGCACGAAAAGCGUGGGGAGCAAAACAGGAUUAGAUACCCUGGUAGUCCACGCCCUAAAACGAUGUCAACUAGUUGUUGGGGGAUUCAUUUCCUUAGUAACGUAGCUAACGCGUGAAGUUGACCGCCUGGGGGAGUACGGUCGCAAGAUUAAAAACUCAAAGG
RNAcentral lists this ribosomal RNA (564 nucleotides) under uncultured bacterium. RNAcentral describes it as "partial 16S ribosomal RNA". It matches the Rfam family "Bacterial small subunit ribosomal RNA", at positions 355 to 907 of the family's 1533-position model. The record is from RNAcentral.